Molecule: long non-coding RNA, 4406 nt
Organism: Aegilops tauschii subsp. strangulata
Lineage: Eukaryota; Viridiplantae; Streptophyta; Magnoliopsida; Poales; Poaceae
Source: RefSeq, a predicted model, not a curated record
UUGAUUUUGUUCUGUGAUUCGUUCUGUACCAUGAGUUGUUUCGGUUGUGUAAAAAUUGACUGAACCUUGAAGUGGAUCAGUCGUAUCGUUAUUGGGCCGAUGCCUCGACCCCGAUAUCCUAUUCCUUCGCCCGUUUAGCUGCAGCCCAGCCCGUAGAGAAAAGUCGCUCUCUCUGUCGUCUCUUCUUCUGCUUCACUCCUCUUCUCCUCUCUUAUCCACUCUCUUCGCUGCUCUUUGCCCCCAUUGCCCCCCACCUCUGACCGUGGAGGCUUUGUGCUUCAUUGCCCCCCCAAUUCAUUUCUUUUUUCUGUAUGAUUCAUUUGCUAUUUUAAGUCAUUCAUUUGUUGUUUCUGUUGAUAUCUAUUUUGCAGGGAUUUCGAGGUGUCACUGGUUAGGGUUUUCUCUGCUUGCUGUGAGGUCUGCUAGGGGAGGCUUUAGUUUUCCCAAGGGUUUAUGUCCCAAGGUCUUGAAGAUAUCAACAGUGACAAGAGCCCAGCUUCGAGUUCCUUUUGUUCCAUCGGACAUCGUGGUGUUCUGUGUAGUCCCCACUACACUCCUGGUGGUGAUGCUAGUGGAUCUGGUGGUGAUGCUGGUGCUGCUGCGGCUUCCUGCUCUGUUUGAAGCGUCACAGUGCAUUCUUCCAAUCUUUGAAGAUAAGUUGGAAUUCAAGGUAGAAAAUAUUUUGUGGAAUGCCACUUCCUAUAGGUAUUUUGGUCGUUUAUAGUUUCUUAAAAUUCAUAUUUUUUGCAAUGCUCAUUACUGAUUGUCUUCAUAGUUACUUCCCAUAGUAAUGUUAACGUUCCUUCUUUGUUUUCUCCCAUGUCUCUUUUCUGACAUCUGUGCAACAUGUAAUGUUAUGAUAGUGCCACAACCUGAGCAAGUGAUUUUCCCUUGGCGACAACUUUCUCCACUAAUCCUUUCUGCUAGUUAUCCAUUUGUACAACUCUUUGGACGUGCAAAUGCAAUAUUCAGACUUCUUAGUUUUAUAAUUUUGUUUUUCAAAAUUAUUAUAUUCCAACCAUAACAAUGGUUUUUCAUGUUGAUAGCAACUUUAGCAUGCAAAUCUAAUUCCUUACAUUAUAGUCAUUGUUGAUGCUUACCUUGUGUUUUUGUUGGUUGUAUCAUGAGAAUGCACUUGCUGAUAUUCCUGUUGUGUAAUUUUUGGCACCUACAUAAGCAAUUUCAGAUUAUUAGUUAUUUUUUGGGUAACUUAAACUAGAGUUUUGAAACUUCUGCCUCUGCAUCCAUUUUUAUUCAGUGUUCCUCACCUUGUUGACAGUAUGGUCUGCUCCACCAUGAAGUUGUUGUUGCUCAUAAUGAAGUUGUGCAACUUCUGUAGGUUGCAUAUGCAAUUAUCUUUUUAAUAUCUUGAUAUGACAUGAAAGCAUAGUACUAAUUGAUGCAAUGGUAGCAUAAUGACUUCCAUGGUGUCGCAGCAGCGCUGUUCCUUCUGAUUUUGAAUCUCUGUAUCCUGCAAAUGCAAUUUCGAUAUAAUUAGUGUCAUCAUGUGGAAGUUAAUCGUAAUGCUAAUGGCUGGCAGCCAUGACAACCAAAACAGUGGCUAUUGCAAUUGUCUGCUGACGCAACAGUGGUGUCUGUCAGCAAGAUUUUAUACCCUGUUCAUCUCCUUGUUGAUAAUAUGUUUUGCUACUGCAUGUUGGUGUUGUUGCUGAUACUUAUUCUGUGCAACUUCUUUAUCGUGCAUCAGCAAUUAAGAUAACCAGAUUCAUUAGCAAUAUGUUUUUCCAUAGUUAACAACUGGAUACUGUAAUAGGAAUGGUUGCUACGGCAACAAAAUUUGUGUCUACACUUAUGUUUAUGAUUUCGAUUUUUAUCUUCAGGAAGGGUAAUAGGCUUCCCAAAAUUCAUUCAUCUAUAGAAAAACUUCAUUAUAUUCUUUCUUUUGCAUUUGGAAGGGUAAUAGGCUUCCCAAAAUUCAUUCAACUAUAGAAAAACUUCAUUCUAUUCUAUCUUUUGCAUUGGGAAGGGUAACAUGCUUCCCAAAAUUAAUUCCUCUAUAAAAAACUUAAUUCUAUUAUGUCAUUUGCUUUUGCAUUUUAUCUUUAUCUAUUGAUUUUAGUUUAUGUUUAGUUUAUGCUUAGUUUCUUCAGACUAUGUAGUAGGUUCCGACUUUGAUGAAGUACCUGAAGUUUUCUAUGUUGUCCUUGAUGAGGAAUGCUUCAGGAGGAUGAUGAGUUGUAUUAAUCAUUUCUUUUAUAGUUUGACUUAUUUUGUAGAUAUCAAUCUAUGUGUAUGUGUUUACUUAGCCACUGCAUUUUUUCAUGGCUAAUAUGAAACCUGUGUAUUUUAGGUGUUGUUCCCCAUCCUAUGUCUUGAUUGUCUUUGUAAUUAGUUAUAUAGAUGGAACUAUAAUUUGUCUUUCCAUGAUCUAAAUCCAGUUGACAUUGAUCAAUUAUGCAAGUAUAAUUAUAAUCGUGAAUACAGUGAGGUACUCUGUAUUACAUAUAGCUUGAAUUCUUUUGUACAUAUCAAUGUAUCUGCUUCCAAUAAAACCUAAAUCAGCAUAUCAACAAGGCUAAUAUGAAUCUUGCUGUUGUAAAAUGUGUGCAAGUUUAGUAUGAUUAACAUGCAAUUUUUAUUUGUAGUCUUUGAAUUUAUGAAUUAGGCUUUUGCUGUAAUUAUAGUUGUACUCAUAGUCAUGCUCAUGCAUUUUAUUACUUGCAGUAAUGAGAAUGCAAUAAUUAGGUUUAGGUAGAUUUUUGCAAGUACAUCGAUCCUUUCUCUUUUGAAGUUGUUUUCUAUAUUUCUUGGGUUUUUUUUUGCGUUGACUUGUUCUUGUUAUGGCUAUCUCUCUGAAUAUGCAAAUUUAAUUCUAACAUAGACAACUUCUUUAGGGAGCUGUACUGCCGAAACUUUUAGUUUGACAACUUCUUUAGCCCUAGAUGUGAUAGUUAUAUUUCUGUAAGUAUGUAUGCAUGCUUGUAUUUAUAGUUCUUGCGUGUUGCUGUUGAAGAACAAGUGAAAGUUUAGUUCUCUGAAUAUGCAAAUUCAAAAUUCUGCCAUGAGGGUGUUGUUCUGAUUUUACUUGUAGUUAAAUAAUUUCUAGCACAAGCAGGUCAAGAUGUUGUAGUAUGCAUGCUCAUAGUAUAGUUCUUCUAUAUUGCUACUCAACAACAACUGCAAGCUUAGUUUUCUGAAUAUGUAAAUUUAGUUAGUUCAUGGAUAUUUUAGAUUCUGGCUUCAGGGAGGUGUUCAGCCUUAACUGUAGUUUAACAAUUUUUCUAGUAUAACUAGGUGAUUUUUAUACAUAUCUAUGCAUGCUCACACUACACUUCUUUGUAUGUUGCUUUUGAUCAACAACUGCAAGUUUCCCCGCAAAAAAAAACAACAACUGCAAGUUUAGUUUUCUGAUUGUGCAAAUUCAGUAUGUGCAUGCAAUUUUUAGAUUAUGCCUGCAGGUAGGUGUUCUGCCUUGACUAUAGUUAAACAUUUUGUAGUACAAAUAGGUGAAAAUGGUCAAAAUGCUGUGGUUAUCUUUUUGUACAUAUGUAUGCGUGCUAGUACUAUACUUUAUUGUAUGUUACUUUUGGUCAAAAACUGCAAAUUUAGUUAUCUGAAUAUGCAAAUUCAGUAUAUGCAUGGAAAUUUUAGAUUCUGAUUUCAGGAUGGUGUUCUGCUUUAACUGUAGUUAAACAAUUUGUAGUACAACUAGGUGAAGAUCUUGUGGUUAUCUUUUUGUACAUAUGUAUGCAUGCUAGCACUAUACUUCUUUGUAUGUUGCUUUUGGUCAACAACUGCAAGUUUAGUUCUCUGAAUAUGCAAAUUCAAUUCCUUCUUGGAAUUUUUAAAUUCUGCCUUUAGGGAGGUGUUCUGUUUUUAAAUUCUGAAUAUGUCAGGUCGUCACAUAAGAUGCAGCAGCAAAAUCAAAACACAGAAGGCAGAAGAUGGCAAGAGAAUUUUCAAGAUAUCAAAAAAUCAAAAUCAAAACACCAAAUUGUCAGGUUGUCACAUAUUGUCAGGCCCUUUUUUUUGGGCUGGACAGAAGGCAAAAGAGGGCAAGAGAAUUUUUUCAGCCAGUUUGGUUGUUGGGCUGAUUGACUGACCCUAACUUUGGGUCAGUCAGUUUUCUUCUGUCCUCUUUUCUUUUCCUUUGUUGUAGUAAUCAACUGACCACAUUCUACAAUCAGUCGAUUGACCUGUAGCCGCUCCUUGCAAAUUACCCUAUAUCAUAAGAAAAAAAUACUAUGUUAAAAAAUGGUUGAUUUGCAUUAUAAAUCAUGCUGACUGGGUACUUGAAACUAUAUAUGAAUGUAGCCGAAUACACGUUCAAAUUUGAUUUUGUUUACAAUACUUCACUAAAUGUUCAAGCUUGUGGGACAAUGUCCUGGUCUCAAUCAAAUGACUCACCUGUCCUAAAAUAUGGGCAUAGUGAUAGCAAAUCAUGG